RNAcentral lists this RNase P RNA (365 nucleotides) under Betaproteobacteria bacterium. Its description in RNAcentral is "RNase P RNA component class A". It matches the Rfam family "Bacterial RNase P class A". From Rfam's summary of the family: Ribonuclease P (RNase P) is a ubiquitous endoribonuclease, found in archaea, bacteria and eukarya as well as chloroplasts and mitochondria. Its best characterised activity is the generation of mature 5'-ends of tRNAs by cleaving the 5'-leader elements of precursor-tRNAs. Lineage: Bacteria; Pseudomonadati; Pseudomonadota; Betaproteobacteria. The record is from RNAcentral.
GAAGUCCGCCAGGCAGCCGCUGUGUACCUCGUGUGCAUGGAGGAAAGUCCGGGCCCCAUAGAGCAGGAUGCCGGCUAACGGCCGGGCGUCGUGAGGCGAUGGAAAGUGGCACAGAAAACAAACCGCCUAAGUCCGCAAGGACCGGCAAGGGUGAAAAGGUGAGGUAAGAGCUCACCGCAGUCCGUGGCAACACGGCUGGCACGCUAAACCCCAUCCGGGGCAAGGCCAAAUAGGGAAGCGAUGGCGCUGCUCGCGCCGCUUCCGGGUAGGCUGCUAGAGCGGCGCGGUAACGCGCCGCCCAGAGGAAUGGCUGCCGGGCAGCUUCGGCUGUCUUACAGAACCCGGCUUAUCGGCGGACUUCCAAU